RNAcentral lists this ribosomal RNA (349 nucleotides) under uncultured bacterium. RNAcentral describes it as "bacterial SSU rRNA". It matches the Rfam family "Bacterial small subunit ribosomal RNA", at positions 8 to 350 of the family's 1533-position model. The record is from RNAcentral.
AGAGUUUGAUCAUGGCUCAGGAUGAACGCUAGCUACAGGCUUAACACAUGCAAGUCGAGGGGCAGCAUGGUUGGUUGCUUGCAACCAACGAUGGCGACCGGCGCACGGGUGAGUAACGCGUAUCCAACCUACCCUUGUCCAUCGGAUAACCCGUCGAAAGGCGGCCUAACACGAUAUGCGGUUCACAGCAGGCAUCUAACGUGAACGAAAUGUAAAGGAGAAGGAUGGGGAUGCGUCUGAUUAGCUUGUUGGCGGGGUAACGCCACAAGGCUACGAUCAGUAGGGGUUCUGAGAGGAAGGUCCCCCCANAUUGGAACUGAGACACGGUCCAAAACUCCUACGGGAGGCA